UGGCCUCGUGAUCGAGUGGUAAAGACACUUGCCUUUCAACCUUGAGUUCCGGGUUCGAUCCCCGAGGAGCUAG
This is a non-coding RNA of Rhamnusium bicolor, 73 nucleotides long. NCBI's taxonomy places the organism in Eukaryota, Metazoa, Arthropoda, Insecta, Coleoptera, Cerambycidae. The record is from the annotation of a GenBank genome assembly.